RNAcentral lists this transfer RNA (85 nucleotides) under Alphaproteobacteria bacterium. Its description in RNAcentral is "tRNA-Leu". It matches the Rfam family "tRNA". Rfam says of the family: Transfer RNA (tRNA) molecules are approximately 80 nucleotides in length. Their secondary structure includes four short double-helical elements and three loops (D, anti-codon, and T loops). Lineage: Bacteria; Pseudomonadati; Pseudomonadota; Alphaproteobacteria. The record is from RNAcentral.
GCGGGCGUGGCGAAAUUGGUAGACGCGCUGGAUUUAGGUUCCAGUGGGGCGACCCGUGGAAGUUCAAGUCUUCUCGUCCGCACCA